UCCAGACUCCUACGGGAGGCAGCAGUGGGGGAUAUUGCACAAUGGGGGGAACCCUGAUGCAGCGACGCCGCGUGGGUGAAGGAGCGUUUCGGCGCGUAAAGCCCUAUCGGCAGGGAAGAAGGAGGACGGUACCUGACUAAGAAGCCCCGGCUAACUACGUGCCAGCAGCCGCGGUAAUACGUAGGGGGCAAGCGUUAUCCGGAUUUACUGGGUGUAAAGGGGGCGCAGACGGCAGCGCAAGCCAGGAGUGAAAGCCCGGGGCCCAACCCCGGGACUGCUCUUGGAACUGCGCGGCUGGAGUGCAGGAGGGGCAGGCGGAAUUCCUGGUGUAGCGGUGAAAUGCGUAGAUAUCAGGAGGAACACCGGUGGCGAAGGCGGCCUGCUGGACUGCGACUGACGUUGAGGCCCGAAAGCGUGGGGAGCAAACAGGAUUAGAUACCCCUGUACUA
Molecule: ribosomal RNA, 449 nt
Filed under: uncultured bacterium
Lineage: Bacteria
Description: partial 16S ribosomal RNA
Rfam family: Bacterial small subunit ribosomal RNA
Source: RNAcentral